UACGGAGGGUGCGAGCGUUGUUCGGAAUUACUGGGCGUAAAGGGCGCGUAGGCGGUUGUGAUAGUCAGGUGUGAAAUCCUUCGGCUUAACCGGAGAACUGCAUCUGAAACUGCAUAACUAGAGUACAGGAGAGGGAAACGGAAUUCCCGGUGUAGAGGUGAAAUUCGUAGAUAUCGGGAGGAACACCAGUGGCGAAGGCGGUUUCCUGGCCUGAUACUGACGCUGAGGCGCGAAAGCGUGGGGAG
This 245-nucleotide ribosomal RNA is filed under the name uncultured bacterium. RNAcentral's name for it is "partial 16S ribosomal RNA". It matches the Rfam family "Bacterial small subunit ribosomal RNA", at positions 524 to 768 of the family's 1533-position model. The record is from RNAcentral.